AGUGAACGCUGGCGGUAGGCCUAACACAUGCAAGUCGAACGGCAGCACAGUAAGAGCCUGCUCUUACGGGUGGCGAGUGGCGGACGGGUGGGGAAUACAUCGGAAUCUACUUUUUCGUGGGGGAUAACGUAGGGAAACUUACGCUAAUACCGCAUACGACCUACGGGUGAAAGCAGGGGAUCUUCGGACCUUGCGCGAUUGAAUGAGCCGAUGUCGGAUUAGCUAGUUGGCGGGGUAAAGGCCCACCAAGGCGACGAUCCGUAGCUGGUCUGAGAGGAUGAUCAGCCACACUGGAACUGAGACACGGUCCAGACUCCUACGGGAGGCAGCAGUGGGGAAUAUUGGACAAUGGGCGCAAGCCUGAUCCAGCCAUACCGCGUGGGUGAAGAAGGCCUUCGGGUUGUAAAGCCCUUUUGUUGGGAAAGAAAAGCAGCAGGUUAAUACCCCGCUGUUCUGACGGUACCCAAAGAAUAAGCACCGGCUAACUUCGUG
This 492-nucleotide ribosomal RNA is filed under the name uncultured bacterium. Its description in RNAcentral is "partial 16S ribosomal RNA". It matches the Rfam family "Bacterial small subunit ribosomal RNA", at positions 29 to 507 of the family's 1533-position model. The record is from RNAcentral.